GCUCACUGCUAUGGGAGUACGACUAAGCCAUGCGAGUCUCCGCUUUUGCGGGGCGAACGGCUGAGUAACACGUAGCUAACCUACCCUUGGGUGGGGGAUAACCUCGGGAAACUGAGGAUAAUACCCCAUAGGAGAUGUGAUCUGGAAGGACACAUCUUUGAAACCUUCUGGGCCCAAGGAUGGGGCUGCGGCGGAUUAGGUUGAUGUUAGGGUAACUGCCUAACAUGCCUAUAAUCCGUAGGGGCUGUGAGAGCAGUAGCCCCCAGAUGGACUCUGAGACACGAGUCCAGGCCCUACGGGGCGCAGCAGGCGCGAAACCUUCCCAAUGCGCGCAAGCGUGAGGGGGGUACUCCCAGUGCCCUCUACCAGGGGGCUUUUCUUCGGUGCAAAAAGCCGAAGGAAUAAGGGGUGGGCAGGACCGUUGCCAGCCGCCGCGGUAAUAACGGCGCCCCGAGUGGUGAGCUCUUUUAUUGGGCCUAAAGGGUCCGUAGCCGGGUGUGUGAGUCCUCUGUGAAAUCCUUUAGAAGACUAAAGGGCUUGCAGAGGAUACUGCACAUCUUGGGACCAACAGGGGCCGAGGGUACUCGCAGGGUAGGGGUGAAAUCCUGUAAUCCUGCGGGGACCAUCAGUGGCGAAGGCGCUCGGCUGGGGUGGUUCCGACGGUGAGGGACGAAAGCCAGGGGAGCAAACCGGAUUAGAUACCCGGGUAGUCCUGGCUGUAAACGAUGCUCGUUAGGUAUUGGAGACCUUUCGUGGGUCUUCAGUGCCGUAGCGAAGGCGUUAAACGAGCCUCCUGGGGAGUACGGUCGCAAGGCUGAAACUUAAAGGAAUUGGCGGGGGAGUACACAAGGGGUGGAGUCUGCGGUUU
This 868-nucleotide ribosomal RNA is filed under the name uncultured euryarchaeote. Its description in RNAcentral is "bacterial SSU rRNA". It matches the Rfam family "Archaeal small subunit ribosomal RNA", at positions 21 to 903 of the family's 1478-position model. Lineage: Archaea; Methanobacteriati; Methanobacteriota. The record is from RNAcentral.